CGUAUAUAGUAUAGAAUGACAUGUACUUACAUACCAAAAGAUUUUGUUCAACUGCAAAGGAACUGAGUUCAGAAUAGAAAAUGUGAUCCAGAGCAUAUUGGUUGAUUUUAUAUGAGACUUUAGAUUAAUAGCAGCAUCAACUGGGGCCUUUAUGACUCUAUUAUGUAAUUAAUUAUUCUCUUUUUGUUUUUGUACUGUUAAAAGGAGUCGGCCACACGGAAUAAAAAGUAAGGAUGGGAGCCAUCUUAUUUCAUACAAUUUUUCAAAAGUGUUCAUUCAUCCCAUUGUUCUUCAACAAUGAAGGAAUUUAUUUUCCCUAUCUGCCUGGUCCGUCUGCUGCUUCAUUGCCUAGCAGCUUUAUCUAUAUGGUUGCGGCGGGUUAAGGAGGCAUAGGAGGGUCUUUGAUGAUAUGAAGUGAGAGGUAGUGUGGAUCAGUUGUGGAAGAGGGUUCAGGGAGUUUUCUUUCUCUGUCAUCUAUUCAAAUAGUUUAGGGGGAGAUUGGCUACUCUCACCACCAGCGCUGGGGCGUACCCACAACCUUGAGCCGGAAGGACUUAUGCAUGGCACCCAACUGACAGCUGCCACAG
Molecule: non-coding RNA, 587 nt
Organism: Prunus avium (sweet cherry)
Lineage: Eukaryota; Viridiplantae; Streptophyta; Magnoliopsida; Rosales; Rosaceae
Source: RefSeq, a predicted model, not a curated record